This 462-nucleotide ribosomal RNA is filed under the name uncultured bacterium. Its description in RNAcentral is "bacterial SSU rRNA". It matches the Rfam family "Bacterial small subunit ribosomal RNA", at positions 56 to 516 of the family's 1533-position model. The record is from RNAcentral.
UGCAGUCGAACGGUAACAGGUCUUCGGAUGCUGACGAGUGGCGAACGGGUGAGUAAUACAUCGGAACGUGCCUAGUAGUGGGGGAUAACUACUCGAAAGAGUGGCUAAUACCGCAUGAGAUCUACGGAUGAAAGCAGGGGAUCGCAAGACCUUGUGCUACUAGAGCGGCCGAUGGCAGAUUAGGUAGUUGGUGGGAUAAAAGCUUACCAAGCCGACGAUCUGUAGCUGGUCUGAGAGGACGAUCAGCCACACUGGGACUGAGACACGGCCCAGACUCCUACGGGAGGCAGCAGUGGGGAAUUUUGGACAAUGGGCGCAAGCCUGAUCCAGCAAUGCCGCGUGCAGGAUGAAGGCCUUCGGGUUGUAAACUGCUUUUGUACGGAACGAAAAGCCCUGGGUUAAUACCCUGGGGUCAUGACGGUACCGUAAGAAUAAGCACCGGCUAACUACGUGCCAGCAGCC